Molecule: non-coding RNA, 82 nt
Filed under: uncultured Pelagophyceae
Lineage: Eukaryota; Pelagophyceae
Source: RNAcentral
GAACGAAAAAAAAAAAAAAACCUCUUCUUUCUCUCUCACCCAUUCGUCCCUUCCCUUCUUUUUUCCUUUCUUUCUUUCUUUC